UUACUAGACAAAUAGGAAAAUACGUAUAUAGUUAUUAAACUGUGGUUUCAGUGGAAAUCCUGUACGUAAAUUCAAAAUACUUAGGAACACUUUUCUACCCAAUGUGGCAUUGCGGUAGGAUGUAGGUAAUGACGGUACUCUAUAAACGGAAUGGCGUAGUGCAAGUCAUGCAAACGCCCAAAAUUAUAUCCUAAUAAUUAUAAUAUAAAUAAGAGCUUGCAAGCGUUGGUUCGGGAGUUCGGAAAACAGACGUUGUUAGACGUACAAAAGUGAUAAGUUGGAAAUCGUAUCGCAGGAGGCGAUAGCGUUUGAAUAAGUUUCAAGUUUAAAGAUUGACGGUUGGCCGUAAUCUCAACGUUUCAAUAACAUAUUUGUGUCGCAAAGAACCAACGUUUGGAACUCCGUAUCAUAAAUCGUGCACAAACCACUGUAAAUAUCCUAUCAAGUGUUAAAUACAAUUGUCAAAAUACAGUCCCAUCGUUCGAGUGAAGUUUCGAGAGCAGUGAACCAGCACUUCGCGCAGAUUGUGCGAAAUUAUGAGAAUGCUAACAGUGUUAAAGUGUUUAGAAGAAUGUGUUAGAAAUAUAAGAUGGCAACAACGAUAAGAAAAUUUUCAGGAAAAUUCUCAACAAGGCAAAACUAACCGAAAUCGUCGUUUCCUAUUGGAAUUACAGUACAGACUUAAGAUAAUACUUUGAAUAAUUAAAUGUAAAAAAUGUUAAAAAAAGAAAAUACAUUGUCCUAAAAAGAAUACGUCAAAUGUAUCUUUACGAUAAGUUCUCCACACUUUAUGUGAUUAUUACACAUCCUAUUAAUAAAUUGAUGUGUACAGUUUAAUGAAGAAAACAUCGAAGAAGAGUACCAGGACAUGGAAAAAGAAACUGAAAUAGAGGAAAUAAACGAGAAGAAAGCACACGAGUUCGAACAAGAAAAGAAGCAUGAAGAUAUCGACGAAGAAGAAAUUCAAGAUAAAGAUAUGGACUACCAGCACAACUCAGAGAAAUAUCUUAAAGAAGAAGAAACGAAGAUAACGAAAUGAGAGUAUAUAAUUUCAAGAUAACUAAAUGGAUUGAAAUUUUCCUGAACUAAACAAGCUCUUCUUGGAGCUUUUCUGAACUAACAAGCUAUUACUUCAGUUUCUUGGCUGUUGAUUUUUUGAAUGGAAACUUUCAAAUAUCAAGAAACAGUCAAAAAAUAGGAAUUUAUCUGUCAAAUAAAAUACUAUCGAUGUCUCAAA
Molecule: long non-coding RNA, 1237 nt
Organism: Xenia sp. Carnegie-2017
Lineage: Eukaryota; Metazoa; Cnidaria; Anthozoa; Malacalcyonacea; Xeniidae
Exons: 2
Source: RefSeq, a predicted model, not a curated record